AAGGAAAUAGCUCAGUGGUAGAGCUGCAUGCUUAAAAUGCAUGAGGUCCUGAGUUCAAUCCUCACUUCCUUCA
Molecule: transfer RNA, 73 nt
Filed under: Camelus bactrianus (Bactrian camel)
Lineage: Eukaryota; Metazoa; Chordata; Mammalia; Artiodactyla; Camelidae
Also listed under: 2 other names
Rfam family: tRNA
About the family: Transfer RNA (tRNA) molecules are approximately 80 nucleotides in length. Their secondary structure includes four short double-helical elements and three loops (D, anti-codon, and T loops).
Source: Rfam by way of RNAcentral